CGGAAGGUGCGAGCGUUAAUCGGAAUUACUGGGCGUAAAGCGCACGUAGGUGGUUUUAUAAGUCGGAUGUGAAAGCCCCGGGCUUAACCUGGGAAUUGCAUCUGAUACUGUCUGACUAGAGUAUGCUAGAGGGAAGUGGAAUUCCAGGUGUAGCGGUGAAAUGCGUAGAUAUCUGGAGGAACACCAAUGGCGAAGGCAACUUCCUGGGGCAAUACUGACACUGAUGUGCGAAAGCGUGGGGAGCAAACAGGAUUAGAUACCCUGGUAGUCCACGCCGUAAACGAUGAGAACUAGUCGUCGGGAGGGUCAGCCAUCCGGUGACGUAGCUAACGCGUUAAGUUCUCCGCCUGGGGAGUACGGCCGCAAGGUUG
Molecule: ribosomal RNA, 371 nt
Filed under: uncultured organism
Description: bacterial SSU rRNA
Rfam family: Bacterial small subunit ribosomal RNA
Source: RNAcentral